This is a long non-coding RNA of Brassica rapa (field mustard), 2487 nucleotides long. RefSeq lists it as uncharacterized. The record is from RefSeq and is a predicted model, not a curated record. Lineage: Eukaryota; Viridiplantae; Streptophyta; Magnoliopsida; Brassicales; Brassicaceae.
UAUAUAGCAAUGUCAUUAAUUUGAAGAAUUCAUCAAUAGAUAAAGCAUUGUUUUCUGUAGAUUAUGUAUUUAUAUUGUAUGUACAGUACAUCAUUGUAAACUUUAUCCUUAUCUACAAGUAAGUAAUAAAAAAAAACAGAAGCUUAAUCUCGAUAUUAAUCUGAUGAGAUGAAACCACAAAUUUGGUCAAAGUAUAGUUUAUUCAAGCAAACUAUUAAACUAACAAAACAUAUGUACAUCAGAAGUAAGGGAAACACUUCAUCUGUAUAAUACACAUGCAUAAACCCUAGCCAUAACCAAAGUACGACCGCAAGUCUUUGUAUUGUACUUAUCACAUUCCACGAUGAUGUCCAGUGCUGACGAGUUUCUUCAACCGACACAGAAACUUACUAGCAGUGGAUAUGUGGCGACGUAUGUCUGCAUUGGAUUUGGCCUUCUUCAAACUGUAGCUCUUCAGAUAGAUGCUACGACGUCGUCUAUAAUCAUCGUCUUCCUGACUAAAUACAAAGUCGGCACUCAGUUUUUCUGAAGUUACUUCUUCAUCACGUAUUGAGUUCUUUGGGUUUCCUUCUUGAUCCCAAGCUUUUCCGUAGAUCCAAUUCUCGGUUUCCAUCAUCGAUAAUAUAGCAGAUUUUUCUUCUAACUAGCUCUCUAUGUAAAGAAAAAACUGACGGAUAAAUUAAUUAGUGGUAGAGUAUUAGGGUAUAUAUAUACACAGCCUUAUUUUUUUUCCUUUUUUGAAAUAUCAAAUAUACUGGAUAAUCAGAGAAUUUUAUUUAAAAAGAAAUAUAUAUAUAUAUAUAUAUAUAUAUAUAUAUAUAUCCAAUAACAAAAAAAGGAAAAAAUAACUCAUUAACAUAAACCCUCACACAGAACAGUAGAGAGAGAGAACUCUACCAGCCGCCAGAGAAAAAAAAAGAAAGAUUUCUGAGUUCCCCUCUCCGGCUUCCAGGAGUCUCGUAGGUGUCAUAAGAAUGCUUAUAGGUCUUGUAGUAGGUUCAUUUGGUCGAUAUGAAGCUUUUGUUGUUUUUUGGAUGGUAUCGAGAGGUAGUUUAGUUCCGUUGUAGUCCUGGUGGUGUGCUUGUUGUCUGAACAGAUCCGGAUCUUUUUCUGGUGUGCAGUAUAGUACUAAGCUGGCUCUGAUGUGGUAUGUUAAUUCUUCUGUCGGAUUUGUUGAAGCGUUUCACAGGUAUGUCUCUGUGGAUCAGCGAUUUCAUCAAUCAACCUCUUACCCUUCCUGUUCGGUUAGUCGAAGGUUCUAUCAGUAUAAAUCUCAUCCCUUGGUUCGUUAUGUUUAUGGUUUCUUGGGUCUGUGUGGCCUUCAGUUUCAUGCCUCUAAUUCUAUGUUGCAAUGUAAGCCUCUUAGUGGUUCUAAGUUAGUGACGGGUAUUGGUUCAAGUCUUGACCCCGUGGUCUUUGUCAUGUAUCAUUGGUGUAUUUGUUUCUUUUGUUUUAUCACUUCUUCGUCAGCUUUGGAGUCUUACUCUUGACAUCGCGGUUUGUGUCACCAACUUCCUGUCGCUCCAUCUGUGUAUUCGAUGGUUUCCCUUCAAUGAUUGAAGAGGUUCCGUGCGGUGCAUUAUUCCUCCUUUGGAAUGGUUCUGGUUUGGGUAAGGGGUUCCCUGUGAUCCCAUGGGUUUGGAUGCUCUUCUUUGAUAUCACUCAAGCUUUAACAGUAUUGGUUGGUCCUCUUUUGAAGUCGUUUCCUCGGUCUUGAUCCUAGCUUCCGGCUUCUUUAGAGUUCUAUGAGGAUGUGGCUCCUCUACGCUGAGCUGCAAUGGCGGAAUCGGUUUGGUUUCCGUUUCUAAUGUGAUGCUUAAUGAAGGUGUCUCUUACUUUAUGUUUAUCUAAGUUUGGUUAUGUUGGAACUAUUUUUUGAGCAUUAGGAAAAAUGUAUUCAUAUGCUAAAAAUAGAGUUAAUGUGAAUAAAAAAUAGAAGUUCAAAGUGGGUUGAUUAUAAAUCUUAAAAUGACAUUUGUAAAAUGUCCCACAUUGAAAAUAUGAGGAAAAAAUCUUUUAUAUUUAAAAUGGAGAAAUCACAACAAAGCUCAAAGCUUUAAUAUAGUUAAUAUAUUGUGAAGAGGAGAUAUCGGUAUCAAGCUAAGGGUUUGGAUUUCGGAUUUGGUAACUUGGCCAAUUGAUUAAAUGGUUAAUCUUUUGAUCGAAGUUAUUUUUUUUUAUUAUUGACAAAGUCAAAAUAAGAAAAUAAAAAUAUCUCCUACUAUUAUGAUGGUGAUGUGAUUUAAUGGUAUUUAGUGCAAAGUCAAUUUGAUUUUGUAACCUAAAAAAUUUAUGCACAAUCAAAAAAAUUAUUAUGAUAAUAAUUUAGUCUUCAUGUUUAUGGUUGCACGUUAGAAAACGUUGAACCAUAAACAUGGAGACUAAAUUAUUAUUAUGAUAAUAAUUUUUAGAUAUAAUUGAUUUCAAAUUUAAAAUUAAAUAUUGUAAGCAGAAAAUAAAAGCUAAAAUUAAUAAAAAAAAAAAAAA